RNAcentral lists this ribosomal RNA (1372 nucleotides) under uncultured bacterium. RNAcentral describes it as "bacterial SSU rRNA". It matches the Rfam family "Bacterial small subunit ribosomal RNA", at positions 28 to 1381 of the family's 1533-position model. The record is from RNAcentral.
GAUGAACGCUGGCGGCGUGCCUAAUACAUGCAAGUCGAGCGAACGGACGAGAAGCUUGCUUCUCUGAUGUUAGCGGCGGACGGGUGAGUAACACGUGGAUAACCUACCUAUAAGACUGGGAUAACUUCGGGAAACCGGAGCUAAUACCGGAUAAUAUUUUGAACCGCAUGGUUCAAAAGUGAAAGACGGUCUUGCUGUCACUUAUAGAUGGAUCCGCGCUGCAUUAGCUAGUUGGUAAGGUAACGGCUUACCAAGGCAACGAUGCAUAGCCGACCUGAGAGGGUGAUCGGCCACACUGGAACUGAGACACGGUCCAGACUCCUACGGGAGGCAGCAGUAGGGAAUCUUCCGCAAUGGGCGAAAGCCUGACGGAGCAACGCCGCGUGAGUGAUGAAGGUCUUCGGAUCGUAAAACUCUGUUAUUAGGGAAGAACAUAUGUGUAAGUAACUGUGCACAUCUUGACGGUACCUAAUCAGAAAGCCACGGCUAACUACGUGCCAGCAGCCGCGGUAAUACGUAGGUGGCAAGCGUUAUCCGGAAUUAUUGGGCGUAAAGCGCGCGUAGGCGGUUUUUUAAGUCUGAUGUGAAAGCCCACGGCUCAACCGUGGAGGGUCAUUGGAAACUGGAAAACUUGAGUGCAGAAGAGGAAAGUGGAAUUCCAUGUGUAGCGGUGAAAUGCGCAGAGAUAUGGAGGAACACCAGUGGCGAAGGCGACUUUCUGGUCUGUAACUGACGCUGAUGUGCGAAAGCGUGGGGAUCAAACAGGAUUAGAUACCCUGGUAGUCCACGCCGUAAACGAUGAGUGCUAAGUGUUAGGGGGUUUCCGCCCCUUAGUGCUGCAGCUAACGCAUUAAGCACUCCGCCUGGGGAGUACGACCGCAAGGUUGAAACUCAAAGGAAUUGACGGGGACCCGCACAAGCGGUGGAGCAUGUGGUUUAAUUCGAAGCAACGCGAAGAACCUUACCAAAUCUUGACAUCCUUUGACAACUCUAGAGAUAGAGCUUUCCCCUUCGGGGGACAAAGUGACAGGUGGUGCAUGGUUGUCGUCAGCUCGUGUCGUGAGAUGUUGGGUUAAGUCCCGCAACGAGCGCAACCCUUAAGCUUAGUUGCCAUCAUUAAGUUGGGCACUCUAAGUUGACUGCCGGUGACAAACCGGAGGAAGGUGGGGAUGACGUCAAAUCAUCAUGCCCCUUAUGAUUUGGGCUACACACGUGCUACAAUGGACAAUACAAAGGGCAGCGAAACUGUGAGGUCAAGCAAAUCCCAUAAAGUUGUUCUCAGUUCGGAUUGUAGUCUGCAACUCGACUACAUGAAGCUGGAAUCGCUAGUAAUCGUAGAUCAGCAUGCUACGGUGAAUACGUUCCCGGGUCU